AUUGAACGCUGGCGGCAGGCCUAACACAUGCAAGUCGAGCGGAUGAAGGGAGCUUGCUCCUGGAUUCAGCGGCGGACGGGUGAGUAAUGCCUAGGAAUCUGCCUGGUAGUGGGGGAUAACGUCCGGAAACGGGCGCUAAUACCGCAUACGUCCUGAGGGAGAAAGUGGGGGAUCUUCGGACCUCACGCUAUCAGAUGAGCCUAGGUCGGAUUAGCUAGUUGGUGGGGUAAAGGCCUACCAAGGCGACGAUCCGUAACUGGUCUGAGAGGAUGAUCAGUCACACUGGAACUGAGACACGGUCCAGACUCCUACGGGCGGCAGCAGUGGGGAAUAUUGGACAAUGGGCGAAAGCCUGAUCCAGCCAUGCCGCGUGUGUGAAGAAGGUCUUCGGAUUGUAAAGCACUUUAAGUUGGGAGGAAGGGCAGUAAGUUAAUACCUUGCUGUUUUGACGUUACCAACAGAAUAAGCACCGGCUAACUUCG
RNAcentral lists this ribosomal RNA (482 nucleotides) under uncultured bacterium. Its description in RNAcentral is "partial 16S ribosomal RNA". It matches the Rfam family "Bacterial small subunit ribosomal RNA", at positions 30 to 505 of the family's 1533-position model. The record is from RNAcentral.